RNAcentral lists this unclassified non-coding RNA (438 nucleotides) under soil metagenome. RNAcentral describes it as "partial contains 5.8S ribosomal RNA, internal transcribed spacer 2, and large subunit ribosomal RNA". The stretch from base 1 to 120 matches the Rfam family "5.8S ribosomal RNA", at positions 35 to 154 of the family's 154-position model. The record is from RNAcentral.
GAUGAAGAACGCAGCGAAUUGCGAUAUGUAAUGUGAAUUGCAGAAUUCAGUGAAUCAUCGAAUCUUUGAACGCAUCUUGCACCCUCUGGUAUUCCAGAGGGUAUGCCUGUUUGAGUGUCAUUAAUGACUCAAGCCAGAAAAGGUUUUUUGCUAGCUGGCUUUUUAACCUCUUCUGUGUUUUGGAUGUUGAAGGUUUUGCUGGCUUUUCAAUUUGCCCAGCUCCUUUGAAAUGGAUUAGUGGGGAUCGCUGCCACUACUAGCUUUUAGGUUGAUAAAUGGAUUUUAUCUGAACUGCUGCUGGCAAUAAUGGCAGCUUGAGCUCUGCUGCAUAACUGUCCUUUUAUAUGGACUUGCCUUUCUCAGGCAAAGCUUUUUAAAUCUUGACCUCAAAUCAGGUAGGACUACCCGCUGAACUUAAGCAUAUCAAUAAGCGGAGGA